AAUGAACGCUGGCGGCGCGCCUAAUACAUGCAAGUCGAGCGAGAAGACGUAGCAAUACGUUUGUAAAGCGGCGAACGGGUGAGGAAUACAUGGGUAACCUACCCUCGAGUGGGGAAGUAACUAGCCGAAGGUUAGCUAAUACCGCGUACGCUUCUUGGACUUCGGUUCAGGGAGGAAAGACGAUACCGUGGGUAGUCGCGCUCUUGGAUGGGCUCAUGUCCUAUCAGCUUGUUGGUGAGGUAACGGCUCACCAAGGCUUCGACGGGUAGCUGGUCUGAGAGGACGAUCAGCCACACUGGCACUGCGACACGGGCCAGACUCCUACGGGAGGCAGCAGUAAGGAAUAUUGCGCAAUGGGCGAAAGCCUGACGCAGCGACGCC
RNAcentral lists this ribosomal RNA (381 nucleotides) under uncultured bacterium. RNAcentral's name for it is "bacterial SSU rRNA". It matches the Rfam family "Bacterial small subunit ribosomal RNA", at positions 29 to 398 of the family's 1533-position model. The record is from RNAcentral.